This 484-nucleotide ribosomal RNA is filed under the name uncultured bacterium. RNAcentral's name for it is "partial 16S ribosomal RNA". It matches the Rfam family "Bacterial small subunit ribosomal RNA", at positions 30 to 507 of the family's 1533-position model. The record is from RNAcentral.
AUUGAACGCUGGCGGCAGGCCUAACACAUGCAAGUCGAGCGGGUGAAGGGAGCUUGCUCCUGGAUUCAGCGGCGGACGGGUGAGUAAUGCCUAGGAAUCUGCCUGGUAGUGGGGGAUAACGUCCGGAAACGGGCGCUAAUACCGCAUACGUCCUGAGGGAGAAAGUGGGGGAUCUUCGGACCCCACGCUAUCAGAUGAGCCUAGGUCGGAUUAGCUAGUUGGUGGGGUAAAGGCCUACCAAGGCGACGAUCCGUAACUGGUCUGAGAGGAUGAUCAGUCACACUGGAACUGAGACACGGUCCAGACUCCUACGGGAGGCAGCAGUGGGGAAUAUUGGACAAUGGGCGAAAGCCUGAUCCAGCCAUGCCGCGUGUGUGAAGAAGGUCUUCGGAUUGUAAAGCACUUUAAGUUGGGAGGAAGGGCAGUAAGUUAAUACCUUGCUGUUUUGACGUUACCAACAGAAUAAGCACCGGCUAACUUCGUG